GGACGCAGAAUUCGAUCCCCAACUUGAUAUCUGAACUCCACUCUUGGAUGGGAAGUUUGAAAGCAUUUGAGCAGCUUAUAUUUCCUAUGAAUGUACUUGAACAACUUGAAUUUAAAUUUCGAUUUGUAAUGAAUUCUACGUUAAGCACUGUACCUUUUAUUUUUGGUUGCCACUUGAAGCUGGAAAAGUGUAACCCUAAGUCUGGUAUCCGGCUUGUAUGAACGUAUUUGUGUGGUAUGGCUUUAAUCCUUGUAAGUAACGCACGAAGUGUUUAAGAGCCGUCGAUUGGCUAUCUUAUAAAUGUUGUUAUCUUUGAAGUUAAA
This is a long non-coding RNA of Coffea arabica (coffee), 323 nucleotides long. RefSeq lists it as uncharacterized. Lineage: Eukaryota; Viridiplantae; Streptophyta; Magnoliopsida; Gentianales; Rubiaceae. The record is from RefSeq and is a predicted model, not a curated record.